This is a long non-coding RNA of Pogona vitticeps (central bearded dragon), 1708 nucleotides long. NCBI's taxonomy places the organism in Eukaryota, Metazoa, Chordata, Lepidosauria, Squamata, Agamidae. The record is from Ensembl.
GGCCUGAUCAUGGAGAUACGUCUAAGUAGGCAAGACCUGUAUUUGCACUUCUGUCUUGAAGCCUCUGUGCUGCAAGGUCGAAUCAACGCGACAGAGUGAGCUCCCAUCGCUUUGUCCCAGCAGUUUGAAAGCAUGCAAAUGCGAGUAGAUAAAUAGGUACCACCUCGGUGGGAAGGUAACAGCGUUCAGUGUCUAGUCGCGCUGGCCAUGUGACCACGGAAACUGUCUUUGGACAAACGCUGGCUCUACAGCUCAGAGAUGGGGAUAAGCACCACCCCCUAGAGUCGGACACGACUGGACUAAAUGUCAAGGGGAACCUUUACCUUUGAGAAAGAGGAUGUUGAUUCACAAAAGCUCACAUCGAAAUAAGAUGGUGAGUCUUUAAAGUGCUGCAGUAGCUUGCCACCCUCUCCCCUCCUCCCCGCCUAUUUCCCCAUCUUCUGUCUCAUCAGGGUCCAACUCUGACCUCGUUCACCUUGCUCUCCGAGUGUGCAGAUCAGUUUUGUCCAUCCUGUCUGGAGUUGGAUGUCCUGUACGUUCAGGGAACACUUGGCCCUCCAGAUGUUUGGGGCAUACCUUCUGUAAUCCCUCACCAAAGGGCACAUCAGCUGGGGCUUCUGGAAACACACAUCUGGAGGGCCAGAUUUCCACACCCCUAUUGUAUUUAGAAGGUUUAUGUAGCUUUGCCGGUCUCCGCUUCCAUGCAUCCUUUCUUUUUAUGUACUUGACAAUCACCUCUAUACACACGUCUUCUGCGCAGACAUUGUCUGAUGCAGCUGGACUAAGAUCCAAAUCCUGGUUUGCAGGUCGGAACCUACACCGUGUGCUCAUUAGAGUCUUGGCCGGUUGCAGGGAUGGUGUAACCAUAUCAUACACCCCCCCAAUACUUAAAUCACCUUCGCGUUUGUGUCUGCAGCUCCCAGUUUGCCCGCCAGGUGAAGCUCCUCCAGGAUGGCUUCCUUCGUACCCUCUAUUGUGGCUCCUUCUGCUGCCCUCGCCCCGUCCUGUCUUGGCUCUUCCAGCUUGCCCUAACUGCACCUGUGCUUGGGGAACUUCCUUCUUGGGCAGGAACUCCAAAUACCCCACAGCCAGCGUGGCCCGUGGGAGGCCGUCCUCCCCAGCUAUUGUCCGAAGUGCGAACGGGGGUCGGUCUGGUGGUUGUCCCUUUCUGGCUUCUGGCGCUCCAGCCAGAAACGUGGCACAGCACGAGGAGAGCCAUGCGGGCGUUUUUACUGCUGUCGCGUAGAAUGGCCGAUGUUCUCCCCUGUCCGUGAUUUCUUCAGCUGCGCAAGAAACAGAAAUUUAAGGGGGGGGGAUAUUUUCCAGCUCUGUUCAUGUAACAUGAGCAGAAAGCUUCACCUGCACCGUUUCUGUUUGCUGUUUAAUCAUUAAGUGCUUAAAAUCACCUAAGAACCCUUAAGGACCAGGCUGUUUGAAGGAUCGUAUCACCCCUUGUGAGCCUUCUCGGCUUUUAAGGUCUUCUGAGGAGGCCCUCCUCUUGGUUUCUUCACCUUCCCAAGCGGGCUUGGUGAGGACGCGAGACGGGGCCUUCUCGGUGGUGGCUCCCAGGCUGGCAGUGCUCUGACCCAAGAAGCCAGGUGGGCUGCCCCCUCUUGUCCUUCUGUCGUCUGCCAAAGACCUUCCUCUUCAAGCAGGCUUCGAAGCAGUAAGUCAUCACACGAAUGCUUCCUCUCUUAAACUUGAGAGA